This 385-nucleotide ribosomal RNA is filed under the name uncultured bacterium. Its description in RNAcentral is "bacterial SSU rRNA". It matches the Rfam family "Bacterial small subunit ribosomal RNA", at positions 29 to 441 of the family's 1533-position model. The record is from RNAcentral.
AACGAACGCUGGCGGCAUGCCUAACACAUGCAAGUCGAACGAAGGCUUCGGCCUUAGUGGCGCACGGGUGCGUAACGCGUGGGAAUCUGCCCUUGGGUUCGGAAUAACAGUUAGAAAUGACUGCUAAUACCGGAUGAUGACGUAAGUCCAAAGAUUUAUCGCCCAAGGAUGAGCCCGCGUAGGAUUAGGUAGUUGGUGAGGUAAAGGCUCACCAAGCCGACGAUCCUUAGCUGGUCUGAGAGGAUGAUCAGCCACACUGGGACUGAGACACGGCCCAGACUCCUACGGGAGGCAGCAGUGGGGAAUAUUGGACAAUGGGGGAAACCCUGAUCCAGCAAUGCCGCGUGAGUGAUGAAGGCCUUAGGGUUGUAAAGCUCUUUUACCA